RNAcentral lists this long non-coding RNA (445 nucleotides) under Heterocephalus glaber (naked mole-rat). Its description in RNAcentral is "lncRNA (ENSHGLG00100041250.1)". Lineage: Eukaryota; Metazoa; Chordata; Mammalia; Rodentia; Bathyergidae. The record is from RNAcentral.
ACUGAUCAGUACAACCAAGUUCUAGCCCCAGAAGAACAGCAGACCUGUGCGUGUGGGCCUUCAGGCUGACACCUGAGCCCAGGCUCCUUGCACCCCACAGGUGAGAGUGUCAGGCAUUAUCCUGGAGAAAAUAGCCAAAGGCAUGGCGUCCUGAGCCAUCAGACGUGAUCCAGAGCAUGGCCUUGGUCACGCCUUUGCUGGGCGGGGCCGGGCCAUCGCCGAAAAACAGAAUGGCCCGAGUGCACAGGAAUGGACCUUCGGUCCUGCACAAGUUCCUCCUCUCCUGCUGCUGACCACGCCUCGCUUCCUCCCUCCUCUCCCUCAGGACCUCUGCACCCCCCUCUACUCACCACACCACAACUCAAAGUGUGGUCCUUGCAUGGUCACUUGGAUGGUAAGCCCUAGUGUUCCUGACAAAGCUUCCAGUCUGAAGAUCAAGGGACCC